ACCCGCACAAGCGGUGGAUGAUGUGGAUUAAUUCGAUGCAACGCGAAGAACCUUACUACCCUUGACAUGUCCGGAACUUGCCAGAGAUGGCUUGGUGCCCGAAAGGGAACCGGAACACAGGUGCUGCAUGGCUGUCGUCAGCUCGUGUCGUGAGAUGUUGGGUUAAGUCCCGCAACGAGCGCAACCCUUAUCAUUAGUUGCUACGCAAGGGCACUCUAAUGAGACUGCCGGUGACAAACCGGAGGAAGGUGGGGAUGACGUCAAGUCCUCAUGGCCCUUAUGGGUAGGGCUUCACACGUCAUACAAUGGUCGGUACAGAGGGUUGCUAAGCCGCGAGGUGGAGCCAAUCCCACAAAGCCGAUCGUAGUCCGGAUUGUUCUCUGCAACUCGAGAGCAUGAAGUCGGAAUCGCUAGUAAUCGCAGGUCAGCAUACUGCGGUGAAUACGUUCCCGGGUCUU
Molecule: ribosomal RNA, 458 nt
Filed under: uncultured Thiobacillus sp.
Lineage: Bacteria; Pseudomonadati; Pseudomonadota; Betaproteobacteria; Nitrosomonadales; Thiobacillaceae
Description: bacterial SSU rRNA
Rfam family: Bacterial small subunit ribosomal RNA
Source: RNAcentral